Long non-coding RNA from Cercocebus atys (sooty mangabey), 978 nucleotides. RefSeq lists it as uncharacterized. The transcript is spliced from 2 exons. The record is from RefSeq and is a predicted model, not a curated record. Lineage: Eukaryota; Metazoa; Chordata; Mammalia; Primates; Cercopithecidae.
AGAGCACAAAGAUGGUGACAGGUCAGGGCAGCCUCGCUGGCCUUCACCCCGGCUGCUUCUGUCUUUGCAGGAGGCAUUCUCCUGAGACCAGACAGAGGUUCAUCUUCACAAAGGUGUCCUCCGGGCACACAGCAUCAGAUACUCACAGUCCCAGGCUUAGCGGUCAACAUGGGGGUGCACAAGUCGGAUGGGUGCAGUGAGUGUCACAGGGCAAGGACUCAAGAGGAUGGGCCUUGCCCCUGUGACAGGAUUCUAACCACAGCAGACCCCUCAGCAUACGGCCUGCCCUCCCUCUCUGCACAGCCGGCAGCGUGGACUCGCCCCAUGGGGCUGUCGUGCAUCAGAUGCUAGGCGCUCAGUACAGAUAAGGUGAAAUAAAACAGGAUGGAACAAUACGUCGUUUUAGAACACAGAGGAGACACUCUCUUCUUCCUGCUAGGCCGUGUAACUGACAAGGCAACGCAAGUGAAUAGAGAGGUCCGUUGCUACAGAUGCUGUUCAGUCCCUGACUUGCCAGUCAGGGAUCUGGGAGCAGAAAGAUGCAGAGAGAGCCUGAAGACGACUUUGAAAACAAAGGUCUCCCUCUGUCACAUUUACAGACACCUAUCCUUAGGCACGCGUAGGUAAGAGAACUCGGGCUGUGUGCGCAGGGAAGAGAAAAAGUAUAAAUGCUGUAAAGAGAACUCUGACUUUAGGCCAUAAUGGGAACUUGAAAAGGAUUGGGGAAAGGGGGAGCGGAAAUGUUUACCAAGUACUUUUCAGUGCAUAUUUGGUUAAUCAGAGUCUAUUCUGCUAUGGUGAUUUCCAUAAAGAGCUCCUCUGUUGAAUAUUUAUACUCCAUAAUUUACAGUUUGGCUGUUAAGGAGACAAAGGCAAACACAGAUUUGGUCCAGAAGUUCAAAGUUUGCCAUCUGUUUUCCUAUUGUAUUUAGAUACCAGCAUGGAUGGCUCCAAGCAAAAUAAACAAAUAAACCAAAA